AUCUCUUUCUGGAGAUCGUUCCUCUGGGAGUCUUUUUCUGUGAGCUUGAGAUGCAGGUUACAGACUAAGAAGAUCAAAACCCCAUCAUGUGGCUGGAGUGCUGUACUAACACAAAGACAUGCUCCAAAGGGUUCUGUGUCUUGAAAAGCAAAACAGCGUGAGGAGAUCAGCAGCACAGUGUGGAGCACAGAUCUGUAGGAGCAGAAGACUGAAAGGAUGAAGUGGUUCAAAUAAACUACUAUCUAUCAUUAAAAUGCAUAUGUAGGCACUCUGGAAGUCCAUCCUAGGUGAAUGACCCGGGAAGAGGUCAACCUGAACAGUGUAUGAAGAAGAAAAAUGGAACAACCCACCCUCCUUGCCUGCAGUUUUCACAGCAACCCAUUUUUAAUCCUGGG
This is a long non-coding RNA of Lagopus leucura (white-tailed ptarmigan), 395 nucleotides long. RefSeq lists it as uncharacterized. Lineage: Eukaryota; Metazoa; Chordata; Aves; Galliformes; Phasianidae. The record is from RefSeq and is a predicted model, not a curated record. The transcript has 5 exons.